UACGAAGGGUGCAAGCGUUACUCGGAAUUACUGGGCGUAAAGCGUGCGUAGGUGGUUCGUUAAGUCUGAUGUGAAAGCCCUGGGCUCAACCUGGGAAUGGCAUUGGAAACUGGCGACCUAGAGUGCGGUAGAGGGUAGUGGAAUUCCCGGUGUAGCAGUGAAAUGCGUAGAGAUCGGGAGGAACAUCUGUGGCGAAGGCGACUGCCUGGACCAGCACUGACACUGAGGCACGAAAGCGUGGGGAGCGAACAGG
Molecule: ribosomal RNA, 253 nt
Filed under: uncultured bacterium
Lineage: Bacteria
Description: partial 16S ribosomal RNA
Rfam family: Bacterial small subunit ribosomal RNA
Source: RNAcentral